Molecule: ribosomal RNA, 253 nt
Filed under: uncultured bacterium
Lineage: Bacteria
Description: partial 16S ribosomal RNA
Rfam family: Bacterial small subunit ribosomal RNA
Source: RNAcentral
UACGAGAGGCCCAAACGUUAUUCGGAAUUACUGGGCUUAAAGAGUCCGUAGGCGGCGCGGAAAAUGGGGUGUGAAAUCCCUCGGCUUAACCGAGGAAUUGCGCUCCAAACUGCCGUGCUUGAGGAACCUAGAGGUGAGCAGAACUGAUGGUGGAGCGGUGAAAUGCGUUGAUAUCAUCAGGAAUACCGGAGGCGAAGGCGGCUCACUGGGGGUUUUCUGACGCUGAGGGACGAAAGCCAGGGUAGCGAACGGG